CUUCGGGAUUAGUGGCAGACGGGUGAGUAACGCGUGGGAAGCUACCUUGUGGUAGGGAACAACAGUUGGAAACGACUGCUAAUACCCUAUGAGCCCUAUGGGGGAAAGAUUUAUCGCCAUGAGAUGUGCCCGCGUUAGAUUAGCUAGUUGGUAAGGUAAUGGCUUACCAAGGCGACGAUCUAUAGCUGGUCUGAGAGGAUGAUCAGCCACACUGGGACUGAGACACGGCCCAGACUCCUACGGGAGGCAGCAGUGGGGAAUAUUGGACAAUGGGGGCAACCCUGAUCCAGCCAUGCCGCGUGUGUGAUGACGGCCUUAGGGUUGUAAAGCACUUUCAGCAGUGAAGAUAAUGACAUUAACUGCAGAAGAAGCCCCGGCUAACUUCGUGCCAGCAGCCGCGGUAAUACGAAGGGGGCUAGCGUUGUUCGGAAUCACUGGGCGUAAAGCGUACGUAGGCGGACUGAUCAGUCAGGGGUGAAAUCCCGGGGCUCAACCCCGGAACUGCCUUUGAUACUGUCAGUCUUGAGAUCGAGAGAGGUGAGUGGAACUCCGAGUGUAGAGGUGAAAUUCGUAGAUAUUCGGAAGAGCACCAGUGGCGAACGCGGCUCACUGGCUCGAUACUGACGCUGAGGUACGAAAGCGUGGGGAGCAACAGGAUUAGAUACCCUGGUAGUCCACGCCGUAACGAUGAAUGCUAGUUGUCAGGUAGCUUGCUAUU
RNAcentral lists this ribosomal RNA (718 nucleotides) under Pseudovibrio sp. Its description in RNAcentral is "bacterial SSU rRNA". It matches the Rfam family "Bacterial small subunit ribosomal RNA", at positions 84 to 840 of the family's 1533-position model. Lineage: Bacteria; Pseudomonadati; Pseudomonadota; Alphaproteobacteria; Hyphomicrobiales; Stappiaceae. The record is from RNAcentral.